RNAcentral lists this ribosomal RNA (969 nucleotides) under Neisseria meningitidis. RNAcentral describes it as "bacterial SSU rRNA". It matches the Rfam family "Bacterial small subunit ribosomal RNA", at positions 55 to 1007 of the family's 1533-position model. Lineage: Bacteria; Pseudomonadati; Pseudomonadota; Betaproteobacteria; Neisseriales; Neisseriaceae. The record is from RNAcentral.
AUGCAAGUCGGACGGCAGCACAGAGAAGCUUGCUUCUUGGGUGGCGAGUGGCGAACGGGUGAGUAACAUAUCGGAACGUACCGAGUAGUGGGGGAUAACUGAUCGAAAGAUCAGCUAAUACCGCAUACGUCUUGAGAGAGAAAGCAGGGGACCUUCGGGCCUUGCGCUAUUCGAGCGGCCGAUAUCUGAUUAGCUAGUUGGUGGGGUAAAGGCCUACCAAGGCGACGAUCAGUAGCGGGUCUGAGAGGAUGAUCCGCCACACUGGGACUGAGACACGGCCCAGACUCCUACGGGAGGCAGCAGUGGGGAAUUUUGGACAAUGGGCGCAAGCCUGAUCCAGCCAUGCCGCGUGUCUGAAGAAGGCCUUCGGGUUGUAAAGGACUUUUGUCAGGGAAGAAAAGGCUGUUGCUAAUACCAGCGGCUGAUGACGGUACCUGAAGAAUAAGCACCGGCUAACUACGUGCCAGCAGCCGCGGUAAUACGUAGGGUGCGAGCGUUAAUCGGAAUUACUGGGCGUAAAGCGGGCGCAGACGGUUACUUAAGCAGGAUGUGAAAUCCCCGGGCUCAACCCGGGAACUGCGUUCUGAACUGGGUGACUCGAGUGUGUCAGAGGGAGGUAGAAUUCCACGUGUAGCAGUGAAAUGCGUAGAGAUGUGGAGGAAUACCGAUGGCGAAGGCAGCCUCCUGGGAUAACACUGACGUUCAUGCCCGAAAGCGUGGGUAGCAAACAGGAUUAGAUACCCUGGUAGUCCACGCCCUAAACGAUGUCAAUUAGCUGUUGGGCAACUUGAUUGCUUGGUAGCGUAGCUAACGCGUGAAAUUGACCGCCUGGGGAGUACGGUCGCAAGAUUAAAACUCAAAGGAAUUGACGGGGACCCGCACAAGCGGGUGGGAUGAUGUGGAAUUAAUUCGAUGCAACGCGGAAGAACCCUUACCCUGGUCUUGACAUGUACGGGAAAUCCUCCAGAG